This 73-nucleotide transfer RNA is filed under the name Stegodyphus mimosarum. It matches the Rfam family "tRNA". From Rfam's summary of the family: Transfer RNA (tRNA) molecules are approximately 80 nucleotides in length. Their secondary structure includes four short double-helical elements and three loops (D, anti-codon, and T loops). The record is from Rfam by way of RNAcentral. Lineage: Eukaryota; Metazoa; Arthropoda; Arachnida; Araneae; Eresidae.
GCCUUCGUGGUGUAGUGGUCAGCACGCUCGACGCGUAACUGAGAGGUCCGUGGUUCGAUUCCCGGAGAAGGCG